RNAcentral lists this ribosomal RNA (253 nucleotides) under uncultured bacterium. RNAcentral describes it as "partial 16S ribosomal RNA". It matches the Rfam family "Bacterial small subunit ribosomal RNA", at positions 524 to 776 of the family's 1533-position model. The record is from RNAcentral.
UACGUAGGGUGCAAGCGUUAAUCGGAAUUACUGGGCGUAAAGCGUGCGCAGGCGGCCUUGCAAGACAGAUGUGAAAUCCCCGGGCUUAACCUGGGAACUGCAUUUGUGACUGCAUGGCUGGAGUGCGGCAGAGGGGGAUGGAAUUCCGCGUGUAGCAGUGAAAUGCGUAGAGAUGUGGAGGAACACCGAUGGCGAAGGCAGCCUCCUGGGCCAGCACUGACGCUCAUGCACGAAAGCGUGGGGAGCAAACAGG